RNAcentral lists this ribosomal RNA (301 nucleotides) under uncultured bacterium. RNAcentral describes it as "partial 16S ribosomal RNA". It matches the Rfam family "Bacterial small subunit ribosomal RNA", at positions 509 to 807 of the family's 1533-position model. The record is from RNAcentral.
CAGUCGCCGCGGUAAUACGAAGGGUGCAAGCGUUAAUCGGAAUUACUGGGCGUAAAGCGUGCGUAGGCGGUUUGUUAAGUCUGUUGUGAAAUCCCCGGGCUCAACCUGGGAAUGGCAAUGGAUACUGGCAAGCUAGAGUGUGUCAGAGGAUGGUGGAAUUCCCAGUGUAGCGGUGAAAUGCGUAGAGAUCGGGAGGAACAUCAGUGGCGAAGGCGGCCAUCUGGGACAACACUGACGCUGAGGCACGAAAGCGUGGGGAGCAAACAGGAUUAGAUACCCCGGUAGUCCCUGUCUCUUAUAC